GCAAGCUACUAAGGGCGCACGGCGGAUGCCUUGGGGCAAGGAGCCGAUGAAGGGCGUGGUAAGCUGCGAUAAGCCACGGGGAGCCGCAAACAGGCGUUGAUCCGUGGAUUCCCGAAUGGGGAAACCCGACCACCGAAUGGGUGGUCACCCACCGCUGAACCCAUAGGCGGUGUGGAGGGCACCCGGGGAACUGAAACAUCUUAGUACCCGGAGGAAAAGAAACCGAAUGGGAUUCCCUUAGUAGUGGCGAGCGAACGGGGAAGAGCCUAAACCUGCAUCGUGCCAAGCCUGCCGGCGUUGCGAUGCAGGGGUCGUGGGACCUGACCGAGAGGGCGGCAGACCUCUCAGGGAGUGACCAAACCUUUUCUUAGCAGAAGCUGCCUGGAACGGCACGCCAUAGAGGGUGAGAGCCCCGUAUGCGAAAAGAAAAGGUCUCCCGUCAGGCUCCCGAGUAGCGCGGGACACGAGGAACCCUGCGCGAAUCGGCCCGGACCACCGGGUAAGGCUAAACACUCCUUGCCACCGAUAGCGCAACCAGUACCGUGAGGGAAAGGUGAAAAGCACCCCGGCGAGGGGAGUGAAACAGAACCUGAAACCGUGCGCCUCCAAGCAGUCGGAGGGCUAUGCCCCGCAAGGGGAACAGCCUGACGGCGUGCCUUUUGCAGAAUGAGCCGGCGAGUUACGCUCAGCGGCAAGGUUAAGUGCCUCCGGCACGAAGCCGUAGCGAAAGCGAGUCCUCACAGGGCGACCCAGUCGCUGGGCGUAGACCCGAAACCGCGCGAUCUACCCCUGGUCAGGCUGAAGCCGUGGUAACACACGGUGGAGGGCCGAACCGGUGUCCGUUGAAAAGGGCUCGGAGGAACUGGGGGUAGUGUGGUGAAAUGCCAAUCGAGCGCGGAGAUAGCUGGUUCUCCCCGAAAUGCAUUGAGGUGCAGCCUCGCGCGCUAUGCUAUGCAGGUAGAGCCACUGGAUGGGCUAGGGGGCCCACCCGCUUACCGAACCCAACCAAACUCCGAAUGGCAUAGCAGGAAGCGCGGGAGUGAGACAGCGACGGAUGAGCGCCGUUGUCAAAAGGGAAACAGCCCAGACCGCCCGCUAAGGCCCCUAAGCACCAGCUCAGUGUGAAAGGAUGUAGGGUCGCGUAGACAGCCAGGAGGUUGGCUUAGAAGCAGCCAUCCUUUAAACAGUGCGUAAUAGCUGACUGGCCGAAUGUGACCCUGCGCCGACAAUGUAAGGGGGCUUAAGCUGGUCGCCGAAGCGGCGGGUUCCCGUAAGGGAGCGGUAGGGGAGCGUUCGGCACGCAGGGAAGGUGGAGCGGAAGCACCACUGGAGCGUGCCGAAGUGAGAAUGCCGGCACGAGUAGCGAGAAGACGGGUGAGAAUCCCGUCCGCCGAAAGCCUAAGGGUUCUUCAGGCAGGUUCGUCCGCUGAAGGUUAGGCGGUCCUAAGCCGAGGGCGAAACGCCGUAGGUGAAGGGCAGUGGGUCAACAUUCCCACCCCAGGUGGCGGAGCGCGAACGGGGACGCUGUAGAACGGGUCGGGCGCGGAGCUGGAAGGCCGCGCUCGCCGGUGAGGCAACGCACCGGCGACGAAGGAAGCCCUCGGGCAACCGAAGCGACCCCGACUGCAGCCGAGAAAAGCCGUUCCGCAAUGAAACCACCUGACCGUACCGCAAACCGACACAGGUAGGCGAGGCGAGGAGCCUCAGGCGCGCGAGAGAAGUCCCGCUAAGGAACUCGGCAAAUUGACCCCGUAACUUCGGGAGAAGGGGUGCCUCCCACCGUGUAGGCUGCAACGCCCAAGCGGUCGGAGGUCGCAGCAAAGAGGGCCUGGCGACUGUUUACCAAAAACACAGCUCUCUGCAAAGGGGUAAACCCGAUGUAUAGGGGGCGACGCUUGGCCAAUGCCCGUCGGUUAAGGGGAGGGGUCAGCCGCAAGGCAAAGCCCCAAACUGAAGCCCGGGUGAAUGCCGGCCGUAACUCUAACGGUCCUAUGGUAGCGAAAUUCCUUGUCGGGUAAAUUCCGACCCGCACGAAAAGCGUAACGACUGGGCCACUGUCUCAGCGGGACUCUCGGUGAAACUGUACUACCCGUGAAGAUGCGGGUUACCUGCGGUAGGACGGAAAGACCCUAUGGAGCUUUACUACAGCCUGAGAUUGCAUUUUGGCAGGUCAUGUAGAGCGUAGGUGGGAGCUUCGGCGCCAAUGGAACACCACCCUUGGCCUGCUGAAGUGCUAACCCGAACCGUGAACCGGUUCGGAGACAGUCUUAGGUGGGUAGUUUGACUGGGGCGGUCGCCUCCUAAACGGUAACGGAGGUGUCCAAAGGUCCGCUCAGCGCGGUCGGAAAUCGCGCGUCGAGUGCAAGGGCAUAAGCGGGCUUGACUGUGAGACCUACGGGUCGAGCAGAGGCGAAAGCCGGGCCUAGUGACCCUCUGGCUGUGCGUGGGCACGCCAGGGUUCAUCGGAUAAAAGCUACCCUAGGGAUAACAGGCUGAUCCUGCCCGAGCGUCCACAGCGACGGCGGGGUUUGGCACCUCGAUGUCGGCUCGUCGCAUCCUGGGGCUGAAGUCGGUCCCAAGGGUUGGGGGGUUCACCCAUUAAAGCGGCACGCGAGCUGGGUUCAGAACGUUAGCCCAAAAGGGCUUGGCGUCCCGCAGGAGUAAUCCUGCGGUGCCCACCGGCUCAUAUCGGUAGACCCCUCCUGCAGUCCACCGAACGCUGCAGAGGGCAAUACCGAGGGAAGAAUGGGAGCUGACGAUGAAGGACACUCUGAUUGGUAUCGUGCUGGGCGAUGGCUAUCUGGAACCACACGGGCGAGGCGUGCGACUACAAGUCAUCCACGCAGCACGCUUCAAACCAUAUGUCGAGUGGAAACGCUGCAAACUAAGAGAACUUCAGCCAUCCCCA
RNAcentral lists this ribosomal RNA (2908 nucleotides) under Armatimonadetes bacterium GXS. RNAcentral's name for it is "bacterial LSU rRNA". It matches the Rfam family "Bacterial large subunit ribosomal RNA". Lineage: Bacteria; Bacillati; Armatimonadota. The record is from RNAcentral.